Molecule: ribosomal RNA, 587 nt
Filed under: uncultured bacterium
Lineage: Bacteria
Description: partial 16S ribosomal RNA
Rfam family: Bacterial small subunit ribosomal RNA
Source: RNAcentral
UGGGGAAUAUUGGACAAUGGGCGCAAGCCUGAUCCAGCAAUGCCGCGUGUGUGAAGAAGGCCUUCGGGUUGUAAAGCACUUUUAUCAGGAGCGAAACGCUGUCGGCUAAUACCCGGCGGAACUGACGGUACCUGAGGAAUAAGCACCGGCUAACUUCGUGCCAGCAGCCGCGGUAAUACGAAGGGUGCAAGCGUUAAUCGGAAUUACUGGGCGUAAAGCGUGCGUAGGCGGUUUCUUAAGUCUGCUGUGAAAUCCCCGGGCUCAACCUGGGAAUGGCAGUGGAUACUGGGAGGCUAGAGUGUGUCAGAGGGUGGUGGAAUUCCCGGUGUAGCGGUGAAAUGCGUAGAGAUCGGGAGGAACAUCAGUGGCGAAGGCGGCCACCUGGGACAACACUGACGCUGAGGCACGAAAGCGUGGGGAGCAAACAGGAUUAGAUACCCUGGUAGUCCACGCCCUAAACGAUGCGAACUGGAUGUUGGUCUCAACUCGGAGAUCAGUGUCGAAGCUAACGCGUUAAGUUCGCCGCCUGGGGAGUACGGUCGCAAGACUGAAACUCAAAGGAAUUGACGGGGUCAUGAGCUGUUUCC